AGUAUUAUAAACCAUCUGUACUGGUCCGUGGUCUCGACGCCUCCUGGCAGUGGACAACUUGUGGUGGACAAAUGGACAUCAGUCAUCGAUCACAUCCACAACAGGCACACCGGGUCGAGGGACUGUUCUCUUCUUGUGCGCACGGAGUCCUGGAAGGCAGGGAACAGCGUAAACCGUGGCUGAGUUGUCAUACGAAGGUGUCUAUUGAAGUGGAGAAGAUCAUCCGAACAAGAGGCUGUGUGCAGAUAUACAACGCCUGUCCCCGUCACACCAGACAUCCUACCUCGAAGCAUUCCAUAGCGUGAUUACCCACUUUGCGCCAAAGAUGUGCCACUUUUCAUACAAAGGGAUGGAGAGCAGAGGGAUCCUGGCUGCUUUGCAUUUCAACGAGAAUGCCAACAGGGAGCAGCGGAGCAGACACGAUGGCGAGAUGAUGUUCAACCUGCGGUAUCCAAAGUAUAAGAAGGGCGGCUACAUUGUGAGGAAAGUCUUACAGGAGCCAUCUUUUGGCUAUGCUGAAGAGCUGAUGCGGAUGGUGGAGGCCAUGUGUCGAGGUGAGGACUACAACGGUGAUGACUUUGACAUCCCAGACCCGUCCCCUGUUACAGAGCCACUCAAUGCAUCAUUCGAAAAGCCGGAUAAGAGGGCAGCAGUCAAUGCACAUAUGACCCGCUUUAGCAUUACAAAUAACACUAAAUGUACACAUGAGAACCGGACUGAAUGGAAUAAACACAAACUUAAUUUCA
Long non-coding RNA from Eleginops maclovinus (Patagonian blennie), 746 nucleotides. RefSeq lists it as uncharacterized. The transcript is spliced from 4 exons. Lineage: Eukaryota; Metazoa; Chordata; Actinopteri; Perciformes; Eleginopidae. The record is from RefSeq and is a predicted model, not a curated record.